UGGGGAAUAUUGCACAAUGGGCGCAAGCCUGAUGCAGCCAUGCCGCGUGUAUGAAGAAGGCCUUCGGGUUGUAAAGUACUUUCAGCGGGGAGGAAGGUGUUGUGGUUAAUAACCUCAGCAAUUGACGUUACCCGCAGAAGAAGCACCGGCUAACUCCGUGCCAGCAGCCGCGGUAAUACGGAGGGUGCAAGCGUUAAUCGGAAUUACUGGGCGUAAAGCGCACGCAGGCGGUCUGUCAAGUCGGAUGUGAAAUCCCCGGGCUCAACCUGGGAACUGCAUCCGAAACUGGCAGGCUUGAGUCUUGUAGAGGGGGGUAGAAUUCCAGGUGUAGCGGUGAAAUGCGUAGAGAUCUGGAGGAAUACCGGUGGCGAAGGCGGCCCCCUGGACAAAGACUGA
Molecule: ribosomal RNA, 396 nt
Filed under: uncultured bacterium
Lineage: Bacteria
Description: partial 16S ribosomal RNA
Rfam family: Bacterial small subunit ribosomal RNA
Source: RNAcentral